AACGAACGCUGGCGGCGCGCCUAAUACAUGCAAGUCGAGCGAGAAGACGUAGCAAUACGUUUGUAAAGCGGCGAACGGGUGAGGAAUACAUGGGUAACCUACCCUCGAGUGGGGAAUAACUAGCCGAAAGGUUAGCUAAUACCGCGUACGCUCCUUGGACUUCGGUUCAGGGAGGAAAGCGAUACCGUGGGUAUCGCGCUCUUGGAUGGGCUCAUGUCCUAUCAGCUUGUUGGUGAGGUAACGGCUCACCAAGGCUUCGACGGGUAGCUGGUCUGAGAGGACGAUCAGCCACACUGGCACUGCGACACGGGCCAGACUCCUACGGGAGCAGCAGUAAGGAAUAUUGCGCAAUGGGCGAAAGCCCUGACGCAGCGACGCCGCGUGGGGGA
RNAcentral lists this ribosomal RNA (389 nucleotides) under uncultured bacterium. RNAcentral's name for it is "bacterial SSU rRNA". It matches the Rfam family "Bacterial small subunit ribosomal RNA", at positions 29 to 408 of the family's 1533-position model. The record is from RNAcentral.